Molecule: non-coding RNA, 810 nt
Organism: Pogona vitticeps (central bearded dragon)
Lineage: Eukaryota; Metazoa; Chordata; Lepidosauria; Squamata; Agamidae
Source: RefSeq, a predicted model, not a curated record
AUGGAUUUUGUUCAGGAAAGUUACUCUUAGAUGUGAAUUCCGAAAGUUCUCGGCAAGAUGGAAUGCUCCAGGCACACCUCUCUUAGAUCCAAGUCAGGAAGCAGUAUAGUCACUGUUUUAUGGUUACAGCUGUGGAUUGAGUAUAACAACCCAGUUCUCUAAGCAAAGAAGCACAGGCCGUGUGUGCACACCAAAUGAUGAAACAAACAAACAAAAAGAAUCUCAUGGUGCCUAAGACUCACAAGGUUUUUUUUCCCCAUCCAUAUAAGCAUUCAAGGUCUACAAUCCACUUCUUUAGAGGUGGAGUGACUGGAGGGCAGCUGGGGAAGUAGGCAAUAGUCUGGGAAAACUUAUGCGAAAUAAAAGCUACUAGUCAUUAAGGUGCCACAAGGCUUAUUGUUGUUUUUGUGGAAAUAGCUUAGCGUGACUUCUCUUUUGGACAUUUAAAAAUGGUUUGGCUACAGGAUGUUGCCUUAGCUAUUAUUUAAUAAAGCUUUAAUUUGGGGCUGGGCAAGAUGCAAGGACACUCCUGAGAUUCUACAAUGCUGUAAAAACACCAGAACAAAACAGAAAAUACCCUUCUUCUUCUUCUUUUCCCUUCUGGAAAGGAAGGAGACAACCUGCUAUACUCUGGGACAAGAGGAGUCUGCCACCAGUCUGCACCAUAGAGAAGCGCCACAUAAUUGCUGCUGAAGUUGGGUGCCAAUGCAACUCCCAGCGUUGGAGGAGAAAGGCAUUAGAGCUGCUGCUGCAGAAAGUCAUGCACAGGCUUUACAUUCAUCAGAGAGACUCGUGCUGUGACCAACACUG